AGGUCCCUGCGGUGGAAGGGCGGAGCCUUAACCACUGGACGGCCAAGGAAGUCCCAAAUGAUCAGUUUUAGGUGCAAGAUUAUAGGAAAUUCUAACGGAUAGUCCUCAGGUCCUUCCUUUGAAUAAUUCACGGGAAUGGUUUUGCUCUCUCUCAUUCAACAUAUGAUCGCUUGCAGUGUUUACUUUAAAAAUUAAAAUUAGAAUUGCUUUAAGGGACGACGCCGUGGGAGGGACUGGGAAUUUAGGACCUACCUAAAACAACAAACAAAUCUGAAGUUAUUUAUCAGAGUGUAGAACGUGUUGUUUAUAUAAGGAAAUUACAUUUUUAAAACGUUGUUUAGCUUUAUAGAUGGGGGCAUUCUGCCAAAUAAUCAGCCAAAAAAAAAGUUGGUAAAGUGACUCUGGGGGAAAAAAGCCUUAUACAAAUUCCAGGACAUUCUGAUGCAAAUUAGAAAAUGUUGUCUGGUGGGUUAUCUGUUGGGUGGUUUGCUGUGUAUGUCAAUUUUCGGAAGACACAACCUUGACUUAGGAAAAAAAAUCUGGAAAAUGUAUCAAAGAGACAGCAGAAAGGGCCAAAACCUACCAAAGCUGAAAUUACCGUGGGGCUCGAGGUUGGGGGAGAGGAGUGGAUUUGUGCCAUUUCUUGGAAUUAUUCCUCAGCGUCUCAUUUCGUUUUUACAUUUCUUUUUUCCCUUCCCCAUCACAAGACUUUUCACAGGUUUCAGAAGUAGGGGAAGUCCAAGAAAGAGAGUCAGACACAUGGAAAUCAGGUGUACAGAGGACCGAUGGCAUAAACGGAGAACAGAGGUGUGGAUAUGAGUGCCUGGGAUAGAGUUCACGGUCAUCCACAGAAGAAUGAAUAAAGAAGAUGUGGUAAAUCGUCAAACGGAUCCUAAUACAAAGGGCUCCAGAUAACCAACACAAUCUAGAGAAGAGAAGGAAGUGGGAGGAGCCUCAUAUGUCACAAUUGCACAACUUGCUAUAAAGCUACAGUGAUCAA
Odocoileus virginianus texanus is the source of this 1000-nucleotide long non-coding RNA. RefSeq lists it as uncharacterized. The record is from RefSeq and is a predicted model, not a curated record. NCBI's taxonomy places the organism in Eukaryota, Metazoa, Chordata, Mammalia, Artiodactyla, Cervidae.